Molecule: ribosomal RNA, 460 nt
Filed under: uncultured bacterium
Lineage: Bacteria
Description: partial 16S ribosomal RNA
Rfam family: Bacterial small subunit ribosomal RNA
Source: RNAcentral
CCUACGGGUGGCAGCAGUGAGGAAUAUUGGUCAAUGGGCGAGAGCCUGAACCAGCCAAGUCGCGUGAAGGAUGAAGGAUCUAUGGUUUGUAAACUUCUGUUAUAUGGGAAUAAAGUGAGGAACGUGUUCCUUUUUGUAUGUACCAUAUGAAUAAGCUUCGGCUAACUCCGUGCCAGCAGCCGCGGUAAUACGGAGGAUGCGAGCGUUAUCCGGAUUUAUUGGGCUGAAGGGGUGCGUAGGUGGUUAAUUAAGUCAGCGGUGAAAGUUUGUGGCUCAACCAUAAGAUUGCCGAUGAAACUGGUUGACUUGAGUAUAUUUGAGGUAGGCGGAAUGCGUGGUGUAGCAGUGAAAUGCAUAGAUAUCACGCAGAACUCUGAUUGCGAAGGCAGCUUACUAAACUGCCACUGACAUUGAUGCUCGAAGGUGUGGGUAUCAAACAGGAUUAGAUACCCGUGUAGUC